Molecule: transfer RNA, 70 nt
Filed under: Dipodomys ordii (Ord's kangaroo rat)
Lineage: Eukaryota; Metazoa; Chordata; Mammalia; Rodentia; Heteromyidae
Rfam family: tRNA
About the family: Transfer RNA (tRNA) molecules are approximately 80 nucleotides in length.
Source: Rfam by way of RNAcentral
GGGAAAGUGGCUCAGUGGUAGAGUGCUUGCCUCGCAUGCAUGAGGUCCUGGGUUCGAUUCCUCAGCACCA